RNAcentral lists this transfer RNA (77 nucleotides) under Chloroflexota bacterium. RNAcentral describes it as "Chloroflexi bacterium (groundwater metagenome) tRNA-Pro". It matches the Rfam family "tRNA". Rfam says of the family: Transfer RNA (tRNA) molecules are approximately 80 nucleotides in length. Their secondary structure includes four short double-helical elements and three loops (D, anti-codon, and T loops). Further hydrogen bonds mediate the characteristic L-shaped molecular structure. tRNAs have two regions of fundamental functional importance: the anti-codon, which is responsible for specific mRNA codon recognition, and the 3' end, to which the tRNAs corresponding amino acid is attached (by aminoacyl-tRNA synthetases). tRNAs cope with the degeneracy of the genetic code in two manners: having more than one tRNA (with a specific anti-codon) for a particular amino acid; and 'wobble' base-pairing, i.e. permitting non-standard base-pairing at the 3rd anti-codon position. Lineage: Bacteria; Bacillati; Chloroflexota. The record is from RNAcentral.
CGGGGCGUAGCGCAGACCGGUAGCGCACAGCGUUAGGGACGCUGGGGUCGGAGGUUCAAAUCCUCUCGCCCCGACCA